AGUAACGCGUGGGAACGUACCCAGAUCUAAGGAAUAGCCACUGGAAACGGUGAGUAAUACCUUAUACGCCCUUCGGGGGAAAGAUUUAUCGGAUUUGGAUCGGCCCGCGUUAGAUUAGGUAGUUGGUGGGGUAAUGGCCUACCAAGCCUACGAUCUAUAGCUGGUUUUAGAGGAUGAUCAGCAACACUGGGACUGAGACACGGCCCAGACUCCUACGGGAGGCAGCAGUGGGGAAUCUUAGACAAUGGGCGCAAGCCUGAUCUAGCCAUGCCGCGUGAGUGAUGAAGGCCUUAGGGUCGUAAAGCUCUUUCGCCUGUGAUGAUAGUGACAGUAGCAGGUAAAGAAACCCCGGCUAACUCCGUGCCAGCAGCCGCGGUAAUACGGAGGGGGUUAGCGUUGUUCGGAAUUACUGGGCGUAAAGCGCACGUAGGCGGAUUAGAAAGUUAGGGGUGAAAUCCCGGGGCUCAACCUCGGAUCGGCCUCCAAAACUCCUAGUCUAGAGUUCGAGAGAGGUGAGUGGAAUUCCAAGUGUAGAGGUGAAAUUCGUAGAUAUUUGGAGGAACACCAGUGGCGAAGGCGGCUCACUGGCUCGAUACUGACGCUGAGGUGCGAAAGUGUGGGGAGCAAACAGGAUUAGAUACCCUGGUAG
Molecule: ribosomal RNA, 649 nt
Filed under: uncultured Roseovarius sp.
Lineage: Bacteria; Pseudomonadati; Pseudomonadota; Alphaproteobacteria; Rhodobacterales; Roseobacteraceae
Description: bacterial SSU rRNA
Rfam family: Bacterial small subunit ribosomal RNA
Source: RNAcentral